UGGGGAAUAUUGGACAAUGGGCGAAAGCCUGAUCCAGCCAUGCCGCGUGUUUGAAGAAGGUCUUCGUAUUGUAAAGCACUUUAAGUUGGGAGGAAGGGCAGUAAGCGAAUACCUUGCUGUUUUGACGUUACCGACAGAAUAAGCACCGGCUAACUCUGUGCCAGCAGCCGCGGUUAUACAGAGGGUGCAAGCGUUAAUCGGAAUUACUGGGCGUAAAGCGCGCGUAGGUGGUUCGUUAAGUUGAAUGUGAAAGCCCCGGGCUCAACCUGGGAACUGCAUCCAAAACUGGCGAGCUAGAGUAGGGCAGAGGGUGGUGGAAUUUCCUGUGUAGCGGUGAAAUGCGUAGAUAUAGGAAGGAACACCAGUGGAGAAGGCGACCACCUGGGCUCAUACUGACACUGAGGUGCGAAAGCGUGGGGAGCAAACAGG
This 429-nucleotide ribosomal RNA is filed under the name Pseudomonadota bacterium. RNAcentral describes it as "Proteobacteria bacterium partial 16S ribosomal RNA". It matches the Rfam family "Bacterial small subunit ribosomal RNA", at positions 355 to 776 of the family's 1533-position model. The record is from RNAcentral. Lineage: Bacteria; Pseudomonadati; Pseudomonadota.